RNAcentral lists this ribosomal RNA (98 nucleotides) under uncultured bacterium. RNAcentral describes it as "partial 16S ribosomal RNA". It matches the Rfam family "Bacterial small subunit ribosomal RNA", at positions 1386 to 1482 of the family's 1533-position model. The record is from RNAcentral.
CACACCGCCCGUCACACCAUGGGAGUCGAUUGCUCCAGAAGUGGCUGCGCCAACCCGCAAGGGAGGCAGGCCCCCAAGGAGUGGUUGGUAACUGGGUG